AAUCUUGCGCAAUGGGGGAAACCCUGACGCAGCAACGCCGCGUGAGUGAUGAAGGUCUUCGGAUCGUAAAGCUCUGUCGGCAGGAACGAUGGGUAGCGUGGCUAACAUCCACGAGACCUGACGGUACCUGCAAAGGCAGCACCGGCUACCUACGUGCCAGCAGCCGCGGUAAUACGUAGGGUGCGAGCGUUAAUCGGAAUUACUGGGCGUAAAGUGUGCGCAGGCGGCCGAGCAUGUCGAGUGUGAAAGCCCCGGGCUUAACCUGGGAACUGCGCUCGAAACUACUUGGCUGGAGUGUGGCAGAGGAAGGUGGAAUUCCACGUGUAGCGGUGAAAUGCGUAGAGAUGUGGAGGAACACCGAUGGCGAAGGCAGCCUUCUGGGCCAACACUGACGCUCAUGCACGAAAGCGUGGGGAGCAAAC
RNAcentral lists this ribosomal RNA (422 nucleotides) under uncultured bacterium. RNAcentral's name for it is "bacterial SSU rRNA". It matches the Rfam family "Bacterial small subunit ribosomal RNA", at positions 360 to 773 of the family's 1533-position model. The record is from RNAcentral.